CCUACGGGAGGCAGCAGUGAGGAAUAUUGGUCAAUGGACGAGAGUCUGAACCAGCCAAGUAGCGUGAAGGAUGACUGCCCUAUGGGUUGUAAACUUCUUUUAUAAAGGAAUAAAACGAGGCACGUGUGCCUUUUUGCAUGUACUUUAUGAAUAAGGAUCGGCUAACUCCGUGCCAGCAGCCGCGGUAAUACGGAGGAUCCGAGCGUUAUCCGGAUUUAUUGGGUUUAAAGGGAGCGUAGAUGGGUUGUUAAGUCAGUUGUGAAAGUUUGCGGCUCAACCGUAAAAUUGCAUUUGAUACUGGCAGUCUUGAGUACAGUUGAGGUAGGCGGAAUGCGUGGUGUAGCGGUGAAAUGCUUAGAUAUCACGAAGAACCCCGAUUGCGAAGGCAGCUUACUAAACUGUGACUGACGUUGAUGCUCGAAAGCGUGGGUAUCGAACAGGAUUAGAUACCCUAGUAGUC
RNAcentral lists this ribosomal RNA (460 nucleotides) under uncultured bacterium. RNAcentral describes it as "partial 16S ribosomal RNA". It matches the Rfam family "Bacterial small subunit ribosomal RNA", at positions 338 to 795 of the family's 1533-position model. The record is from RNAcentral.